GAUGAACGCUGGCGGAGUGCCUAACACAUGCAAGUCGAGCGGCAGCGCGAGUAGUUUACUACUUGGCGGCGAGCGGCGGACGGCUGAGUAACGCGUGGAACAUGCCCCAAAGUGAGGAAUAACUGCCCGAAAGGGUAGCUAAUGCCGCAUACGAUCUUCGGAUUAAAGGAUUUAUCCGGCUUUGGGAGUGGCCUGCGUACGAUUAGAUAGUUGGUGAGGUAAUGGCUCACCAAGUCUACGAUCGUUAACUGGUUUGAGAGGAUGAUCAGUCAGACUGGAACUGAGACACGGUCCAGACUCCUACGGGAGGCAGCAGUUGAGGAAUCUUCCACAAUGGACGAAAGUCUGAUGGAGCAACUCCGCGUGCAGGAUGAAGGCCUUCGGGUCGUAAACUGCUUUAUGAGUGAAGAAUAUGACGGUAACUCAUGAAUAAGGGUCGGCUAACUACGUGCCAGCAGCCGCGGUAAU
Molecule: ribosomal RNA, 468 nt
Filed under: uncultured bacterium
Lineage: Bacteria
Description: bacterial SSU rRNA
Rfam family: Bacterial small subunit ribosomal RNA
Source: RNAcentral